This 253-nucleotide ribosomal RNA is filed under the name uncultured bacterium. RNAcentral describes it as "partial 16S ribosomal RNA". It matches the Rfam family "Bacterial small subunit ribosomal RNA", at positions 524 to 776 of the family's 1533-position model. The record is from RNAcentral.
UACGAAGGGAGCUAGCGUUGUUCGGAAUCACUGGGCGUAAGGCGCACGUAGGCGGAUUUGCCAGUCAGGGGUGAAAUCCCGGGGCUCAACCUCGGAACUGCCUUUGAUACAGCAAGUCUUGAGUUCGAGAGAGGUGGGUGGAAUUCCUAGUGUAGAGGUGAAAUUCGUAGAUAUUAGGAAGAACACCGGUGGCGAAGGCGGCCCACUGGCUCGACACUGACGCUGAGGUGCGAAAGCGUGGGGAGCAAACAGG